GUCCCUCAUUCCUUGUCCGCCUCCGGUCCAAUUCCAAGACGCGCUCGCCACGUUGUCUUUCGGCUGGCCCCGGACCGCCUGACGCCGACCCGCCUCCUCCCCCAGGUUUCCACUGCCUUCUGAAUCCGCUUUCUUAUUUUUGAGUUUGCAGGAAAGUUAUCAAAAUUUCAAGAUCAAGUGCGGAUCUUCUUUGCUGUCCUUUUCUGGGUGUCUCUGUUCUUCUGGUCCUCUGCAUGGGAUGGGGGGAAUUCUGGUAGACCAGAUAAAGGGUCUCGAUUUAGAAGAUAACCUAGUAAGAUUUUGAUUCUAUAUACAUGCAUAUAUAUACAAGAAAUACAUCAUUAAUAUAGACAA
Molecule: RNA transcript, 354 nt
Organism: Gossypium arboreum
Lineage: Eukaryota; Viridiplantae; Streptophyta; Magnoliopsida; Malvales; Malvaceae
Exons: 2
Source: RefSeq, a predicted model, not a curated record